UCAAUAAAGAUAAACAAAAAUAAAAAAAUUUCAAUAAUGAUUUGAUUUCUAAUUUUUGCAACAGCAAGAAUAUUUUAACAAAAAUUUUAGAAACUGAAAAAACAGCAGUAGCACAAAAUCAAUGAGCAGAAGCACAAAAUCAGUAAAACACUAUCAGAGCCAUCAAGCAAUUAUAAACAGCCAUAGCACAAUGAAAAAUAAAAAAAUAUGAACCAGUAAAAACAGCCUAAGCCACAGAAAUUAAAAACAGCCACAACCACAGACAUGAGCAAAUAUGAACAAAAAAAUUAGGAGCCAUCAGCAACUGAUCCAUCAACAACAGGAAAUUACAAUUUACAAAACAUUCAGAACCAAAAUUCAAACCAAGAUCGAAGAAGAAGAAUUGAAGAAAAAUGGAACAAAAAUUGAAGAAGAAUACCGAAGAAGAAGACCGAAGAACAACAAUUUCGGAACUUCAAACCAA
Non-coding RNA from Arachis ipaensis, 463 nucleotides. The record is from RefSeq and is a predicted model, not a curated record. Lineage: Eukaryota; Viridiplantae; Streptophyta; Magnoliopsida; Fabales; Fabaceae.